CAGGUGAUUUGCCUAAUUAGUGAUUUGGAUAGGCGACCACUCACCCCUCUCUCACUCCACUCUCCCCAAUUCCCCACUCGAGCUCAGUAUCUCUCUCUCCCCAACAUUGGAACCCUAAGUCCCAAUCUCCCUCUCCGAUCCAGCGAGCGCCGGGCAGGCAAUGGAGACGGGGACAAGAACAGAGGCCAUAGAGACUCAAUUGGAGCACAUGCAUUUGGAGAAGGAGGCUCAUUCUUUGGGUGGUGAUGACCGUAGCAAGGUAUGAUCCCUCUCAUGAAGUGCAAAUCCAUGAAGCUUCAUGCAAUAGACUCAUUUGGAGCACAUGGGACAGGAAAAGGCGGGAUGUCUAUUCGUAGCACGUGCAACUAGCCCUCUAUCAUCGCACAUGUUCGCUGGAGAUAACAAUGUUCCAAAAUAUUUUUAUCUUGUUUUGGAACAUUUUAUUUGGUUCUAAUAUAUUGGUAUCUCCAGCGGACAUGUGCGAUGAUACAACGGCUAGUCGCACGUGCGAUGAAUAGACGCCCCCGGAAAAGGAGCCUUUGGAGCUUGAGGAGGUUUAUACUCUGCAUGGUGGUCACAAGGAUUCACAGUGGCGCAUGCUCACGGUUAGUAUAUAUUGGUAUCUCCAGCGGACAUGUGCGAUGAUACAACGGCUAGUCGCACGUGCGAUGAAUAGACGCCCCCGGAAAAGGAGCCUUUGGAGCUUGAGGAGGUUUAUACUCUGCAUGGUGGUCACAAGGUAUGGUCCCUCUCAUGGAGUCCAUGUCCAUGUAAUGGAGCAUAGUACAUGCUGGCCUCAGGUGGUGACAACAGCAAGACAAUUAUUUGGCACUACCAGGAUUCACAGUGGCGCAUGCUCACGGAAUUGUCCAAUGGAGGAAAAGGACCUAUCAAAUCAUGUGCUUGGAGCUUGGACAGGAAACAACUUGGAGCAGGAGGUUUAAACUCAAACAUUGCUAUAUGGGAAUACAACAAGGAAGCUGAGGAUUAAUUUAAACUCAUUGCACAAGUACAUGGUCCACAUGAGCAAAUUGUAAAGAGUCUUUCAUGGAACAGCAAACAGUUGCUUCUGUCUUGCUCCAACGAUGGAAAUAUAUGCAUUAUUGGCAAAAAACAAUGGCACAUAUGUUGUCAAGUGCAGAGUAUGUGAAUGUGGAAGUAGUGAGACCUCCUCUGCCAUAUGGAAUCCCAAUGAUGAGACCUUUGCUGUUGCCGGAUAUAGACUAAUUCAGAUAUACCGCGUACAAAUCUAGGUGACCAAGAUGUGAAAGCCUAUCGCAUUCACACAAUUAGUGGAGACAGGUAUAAUACUUACUCCAUUGUCUAGUUUUGGUCAUAAAAGUGGUAUCAAUGGUAUUAGCUAUUGGAAUAAUGGAGAUUUAUGGCAUCGGCAGGGCAAACGCUAACUAGGUUCUUUGGUUAAAUGCUUAAAUGGUUGGAUGGAAUAUGUUAUGACUAUAAAAGAAAGCUCUUCUAAUUUUGCAGUGCUGAUUCCUUCAUGAAAUUUUGGAGAACUGAACCAAGAAGGGAUAGGGAUGAUUCAAGUAGUAGCACAACUAUCUCCAUACCAAGUGGAAAGGAACUUUCUAGUACACUUGUGGGUCAGUAUCGGAUAUCAGAAGAUGCACGAGGAGGAUUUUCAUGUUGUGACUGGUCCAGAUGCCACAAUCAGUCCAUUGGGUACUUAAUUGCAAGUUCAUAUCUUUUCGAUGACAUACAUAUCUUUAUGCAAUACCGAGUCACAAAAGUAAGUCCCUUCUGCUAAAAUUGAUUCCUUGGGGGUGUUUCUUCAAAAUUGAUUCCUAUUAAUGCCCUCAAGUGGCAUCCUAAGGUACGGUUCAUUUCGUAUUUCAUUCAAGGAUGCGGGAUUAUUGUUGUUUUCAUUCACAUUUUGUGUUUCAUUCAGGAUGCGGGAUUAUUGGCGUCAGCAGGUUCAAAAGGCAUCAAAAUUUGGAAAGUUGAAGGUGAAGUAGUGUACUUACUCGACCCAAGCGCCACUGCAGUUAAGAGAGGACCACCAGUUAAGAGAGGAAAGAAGUCCACAAUUGGAAAGGAUGCUACAAAAAGGAUGGAACCAUGUGGAUUUGCAUAGAAUGUAUCAAAUUUCCUAAGACCAGUUAUCCUAGAUGACGUGCGUGUGCAUGAACAUGUGGCGAGGGCGGUAAUUUAAAUCAUUCUCGUCAUUUCUCCGGCCAUGAAAAUCCCAGCACCGGGUUCAUCCCUCGCCGAGAGGACCAUGAAAAUACAAUCAUUUUCCAAUAAUUUACUAAUGGGAAUGUUCA
This is a long non-coding RNA of Panicum hallii, 2282 nucleotides long. RefSeq lists it as uncharacterized. The transcript has 9 exons. Lineage: Eukaryota; Viridiplantae; Streptophyta; Magnoliopsida; Poales; Poaceae. The record is from RefSeq and is a predicted model, not a curated record.